RNAcentral lists this long non-coding RNA (1414 nucleotides) under Lupinus angustifolius (narrow-leaved blue lupine). RNAcentral's name for it is "long non-coding RNA (LANG_LNC002394)". The record is from RNAcentral. Lineage: Eukaryota; Viridiplantae; Streptophyta; Magnoliopsida; Fabales; Fabaceae.
UCUCGGGUCAAUCACAGAGUGUCACAUGAAUAAAAGAAAAGGAUUCCCAAAGAAGGCUUCACUUGUUAUGAGUGUGGAAACGUUGCAUCUCCUCCAUCAUUGCCCAAGUCAAAAGCCUAUGCUGAUUCUCCAUCAUUCCUUUGACAUCAUCAUAGAGAGUUGCACUCUCUCCAUUGAAAGAUUUUGCUCCAUUUGAAGCCAUUAUUGCGUCAUGUUGAGUUUCAUCCUUACCUUUUUAUCAUGCAUCAAUAUACUCAUGAGGGAUACAAAUUUGAAAUCGUUACCCCGCUAGAAAGUGCACGAACUUUAAUUGGCUAAAACUUGACUCAUGUCAAUCAUUUACGAGACGAGUUGAGCUGAGAUAAGUCUGAAUCGAGUCAUUUCCACUCUUGCUCCUCUAAUAUACAUUUUAAUCAUAUAAUUAUUCUAGACCAUUGAUAUUUCAUUAAUUAAUAAAUCUUACAUUAAUACUUAUCUAGAUUCAUGCACAUGAAUAUUGUCAUUUAAUGUAAAAGCUUACCCAUUAAGGGAGCAUUUAUCCCUAUCAAAACUUAAUUUAUAUUGGUUAAUUAAAGAAUAUUUGUUUUGAAAAUAAAAAUAGAUAUAUGUUCAUAUAAUGAGAAAAAGAAAUGAAAUUUGUGUUGAGUAAAAUGAUGCGCGAGACAAUAUUUUCCAUAACAUAAUGUUGUACCCAAGUCACUGGGAUGAGAACUAUCCUUAUAAAGACCAUUACUACAAUAUUUUUCCUUAAUUUCUCGCUCUAAAUGAAGACUAUUACUACAAAAUCAUUGAAAACAAUUUAAACGAGUCUUUUUAUUCCACUAAUAGAUCCAUCACAUGCAAUUUUUAAGAUCAAACACACUUAUUAUCAACAACUAAAACUAGAUUUGAUUUCCAAACAAAGCAUAAACACAAUCAAGGAUAACUAGACUUAUGACCGAUAGUUGUAAAACGACAUGGAUAAAGGUCAUUUGUUUGCAACAACGUCCUAUUCUAUGUCUCGGGUCAAUCACAUAAUGUCAUAUGAAUAAAAGAAAAAGAAACAUUUUGAUUGACUCAUUAAGACAAAGAAUAAAACACUAUUAAGGAUAACUAACCUUUGUCUAACAAGACAUAUAGAAAUUCAAAGACUAAAGAACAAAUAAACAUAAAGACUGGACCAUCAUGACCGGUCUCUAUGUAAUCAUAGACAAAUUUUAAAAAAGGUGGCUAGAACAAUACAAGCCAUAGAAACACUCAACUGUUAUUCAAUAAGAACAUGUGAUUCUUCAUGGGGUUGAAGAACCAUGCUCAAACUCACUUGAGAGAUUAUUAUCUCCAAAUGGAAGCGUUGCAUCCCCUCCAUCAUUGCCCAAGUCAAAAGCCCAAUCAUGAUUCUCCCUAAUUCGUUUGACAUCAUAGCCUAGAGUUGCAC